GAUGAACGCUGGCGGCGUGCCUAAUACAUGCAAGUCGAGCGAACGGACGAGGAGCUUGCUCCUCUGACGUUAGCGGCGGACGGGUGAGUAACACGUGGAUAACCUACCUAUAAGACUGGGAUAACUUCGGGAAACCGGAGCUAAUACCGGAUAAUAUAUUGAACCGCAUGGUUCAAUAGUGAAAGACGGUUUUGCUGUCACUUAUAGAUGGAUCCGCGCUGCAUUAGCUAGUUGGUAAGGUAACGGCUUACCAAGGCAACGAUGCGUAGCCGACCCGAGAGGGUGAUCGGCCACACUGGAACUGAGACACGGUCCAGACUCCUACGGGAGGCAGCAGUAGGGAAUCUUCCGCAAUGGGCGAAAGCCUGACGGAGCAACGCCGCGUGAGUGAUGAAGGUCUUCGGAUCGUAAAACUCUGUUAUUAGGGAAGAACAUAUGUGUAAGUAACUGUGCACAUCUUGACGGUACCUAAUCAGAAAGCCACGGCUAACUACGUG
Molecule: ribosomal RNA, 497 nt
Filed under: uncultured bacterium
Lineage: Bacteria
Description: partial 16S ribosomal RNA
Rfam family: Bacterial small subunit ribosomal RNA
Source: RNAcentral